UACAGAGGGUGCGAGCGUUAAUCGGAAUUACUGGGCGUAAAGCGCGCGUAGGCGGCUUUGCAAGUCGGGUAUGAAAUCCCCAGGCUCAACCUGGGAACUGCAUUCGAGACUGCAUUGCUAGAGUAUGGGAGAGGGAAGUGGAAUUUCAGGUGUAGCGGUGAAAUUCGUAGAUAUUCGGAAGAACACCAGUGGCGAAGGCGACUCACUGGACACGUAUUGACGCUGAGGUGCGAAAGCGUGGGGAGCAAACAGG
This 253-nucleotide ribosomal RNA is filed under the name uncultured bacterium. Its description in RNAcentral is "partial 16S ribosomal RNA". It matches the Rfam family "Bacterial small subunit ribosomal RNA", at positions 524 to 776 of the family's 1533-position model. The record is from RNAcentral.